GACGAACGCUGGCGGCGUGCUUAACACAUGCAAGUCGAACGAUGAUGCUGGAGCUUGCUCCAGUUGAUUAGUGGCGAACGGGUGAGUAACACGUGAGCAAUCUGCCCUUGACUCUGGGAUAACUGCGGGAAACUGUAGCUAAUACCGGAUACUUUCACCGGAAGGCAUCUUCUGGUGAUGAAAGAAUUUCGGUCAGGGAUGAGCUCGCGGCCUAUCAGCUUGUUGGUGAGGUAACGGCUCACCAAGGCGACGACGGGUAGCCGGCCUGAGAGGAUGACCGGCCACACUGGGACUGAGACACGGCCCAGACUCCUACGGGAGGCAGCAGUGGGGAAUAUUGCACAAUGGGCGCAAGCCUGAUGCAGCAACGCCGCGUGAGGGAUGAAGGCCUUCGGGUUGUAAACCUCUUUUAGCAGGGAAGAAGCGAAAGUGACGGUACCUGCAGAAAAAGCACCGGCUAACUACGUGCCAGCCGCCGCGGUAA
Molecule: ribosomal RNA, 484 nt
Filed under: uncultured bacterium
Lineage: Bacteria
Description: partial 16S ribosomal RNA
Rfam family: Bacterial small subunit ribosomal RNA
Source: RNAcentral